This 26-nucleotide non-coding RNA is filed under the name Drosophila melanogaster (fruit fly). Lineage: Eukaryota; Metazoa; Arthropoda; Insecta; Diptera; Drosophilidae. The record is from RNAcentral.
UCCCGAAAAUGACCAAAUUGGCGAGC